This 595-nucleotide ribosomal RNA is filed under the name Rhodococcus globerulus. RNAcentral's name for it is "bacterial SSU rRNA". It matches the Rfam family "Bacterial small subunit ribosomal RNA", at positions 230 to 837 of the family's 1533-position model. The record is from RNAcentral. Lineage: Bacteria; Bacillati; Actinomycetota; Actinomycetes; Mycobacteriales; Nocardiaceae.
UCGCGGCCCCAACAGCUUGUUGGUGGGGUAAUGGCCUACCAAGGCGACGACGGGUAGCCGACCUGAGAGGGUGACCGGCCACACUGGGACUGAGACACGGCCCAGACUCCUACGGGAGGCAGCAGUGGGGAAUAUUGCACAAUGGGCGAAAGCCUGAUGCAGCGACGCCGCGUGAGGGACGACGGCCUUCGGGUUGUAAACCUCUUUCAGCAGGGACGAAGCGCAAGUGACGGUACCUGCAGAAGAAGCACCGGCUAACUACGUGCCAGCAGCCGCGGUAAUACGUAGGGUGCAAGCGUUGUCCGGAAUUACUGGGCGUAAAGAGUUCGUAGGCGGUUUGUCACGUCGUUUGUGAAAACUCACAGCUCAACUGUGAGCCUGCAGGCGAUACGGGCAGACUUGAGUACUGCAGGGGAGACUGGAAUUCCUGGUGUAGCGGUGAAAUGCGCAGAUAUCAGGAGGAACACCGGUGGCGAAGGCGGGUCUCUGGGCAGUAACUGACGCUGAGGAACGAAAGCGUGGGUAGCGAACAGGAUUAGAUACCCUGGUAGUCCACGCCGUAAACGGUGGGCGCUAGGUGUGGGUUCCUUCCACG